This 739-nucleotide ribosomal RNA is filed under the name Hirschmanniella sp. 2 SAS-2008. RNAcentral describes it as "SSU rRNA". It matches the Rfam family "Eukaryotic small subunit ribosomal RNA", at positions 138 to 879 of the family's 1831-position model. The record is from RNAcentral. Lineage: Eukaryota; Metazoa; Nematoda; Chromadorea; Rhabditida; Pratylenchidae.
CUUGGAUAACUGUGGUAAUUCUAGAGCUAAUACAUGCACUAAAGCCUCGACUGCAAGGGAAGGGCGCAUUUGUUAGAACAAAACCAAGCGGCUUCGGCCGUCCAGAGUUGACUCAGAAUAACUAAGCUGAUCGCAUGGCCUUGCGCCGGCGACGUGUCUUUCAAGUAUCUGCCUUAUCAACUUUCGAUGGUAGUAUAUCUGACUACCAUGGUGGUGACGGGUAACGGAGGAUAAGGGUUCGACUCCGGAGAAGGGGCCUGAGAAAUGGCCACUACGUCUAAGGAUGGCAGCAGGCGCGCAAAUUACCCACUCUCAGAACGGAGGAGGUAGUGACGAGAAAUAACGAGACUGUUCUCUUCAGAGGCCAGUCAUCGGAAUGGGUACAAUUUAAACCCUUUAACGAGUAUCUAUGAGAGGGCAAGUCUGGUGCCAGCAGCCGCGGUAAUUCCAGCUCUCAAAAUGCAUAGAAUUAUUGCUGCGGUUAAAAAGCUCGUAGUUGGAUCUGUGCCAGCGUGCUGGUCCACCCUUCGGGGUGUGCACUGGUCUACGUUGGCUUUCCUGUAGCUUAUGGCCUCAGGUCUUUAAACGGACCCGAGUGUCCAUUGCUACAAGUUUACUUUGAACAAAUCAGAGUGCUUCAAACAGGCGUUUCGCUUGAAUGUUCGUGCAUGGAAUAAUAGAAGAGGAUUUCGGUUCUAUUUUAUUGGUUUUAUAGACUGAGAUAAUGGUUAACAGAGAC